Molecule: ribosomal RNA, 468 nt
Filed under: uncultured bacterium
Lineage: Bacteria
Description: partial 16S ribosomal RNA
Rfam family: Bacterial small subunit ribosomal RNA
Source: RNAcentral
GACGAACGCUGGCGGCGUGCUUAACACAUGCAAGUCGAACGGAAAGGCCCUGCUUUUGUGGGGUGCUCGAGUGGCGAACGGGUGAGUAACACGUGAGUAACCUGCCCUUGACUUUGGGAUAACUUCAGGAAACUGGGGCUAAUACCGGAUAGGAGCUCCUGCUGCAUGGUGGGGGUUGGAAAGUUUCGGCGGUUGGGGAUGGACUCGCGGCUUAUCAGCUUGUUGGUGGGGUAGUGGCUUACCAAGGCUUUGACGGGUAGCCGGCCUGAGAGGGUGACCGGCCACAUUGGGACUGGGAUGAGGCCCAAGCUCCUGCGGGAGGCAGCAGGGGGGGAUAUUGCACAAAGGGCGGAAGCCUGAUGCAGCAACGCCGCGGGGGGGAAGGCGGCCUUCGGGUUGGAAACCGCUUUUGCCUGGGACGGAGCGGGGAGGACGGUAAUGGGUAAAGGAACACCGGCUAACUACGGG